RNAcentral lists this ribosomal RNA (150 nucleotides) under uncultured bacterium. RNAcentral describes it as "partial 16S ribosomal RNA". It matches the Rfam family "Bacterial small subunit ribosomal RNA", at positions 335 to 478 of the family's 1533-position model. The record is from RNAcentral.
ACUCCUACGGGAGGCAGCAGUGGGGAAUAUUGCACAAUGGGGGAAACCCUGAUGCAGCCAUGCCGCGUGUGUGAAGAAGGCCUUCGGGUUGUAAAGCACUUUCAGCGAGGAGGAAAGGUUGGUCGCUAAUAACGGCCAACUGUGACGUAC